This is a long non-coding RNA of Rhea pennata, 1415 nucleotides long. RefSeq lists it as uncharacterized. Lineage: Eukaryota; Metazoa; Chordata; Aves; Rheiformes; Rheidae. The transcript has 2 exons. The record is from RefSeq and is a predicted model, not a curated record.
UUGCCUCCAACCCUGAUAGAAGCUUCUUCUAUGAAGCUUAGAAGUGUACAUGGUUUACGCCCCUGUGGCGUUGUAAGGGUGGCAUCCUCUGUUCAGCAGUAUAUUCGUAAUGACUUUCUUCCUCAGUAUUUUCACUCAUGCUCAGUCGUCUCUAAAUCUCAUUUAUAAAAACUUCAUGUUUUGCUACAGCAUACACAAGAUGACACUUACCUCGGUCCAGAUUUAUCUUUUUACCUUUUCUCACCAGAACUAUAUGCUUCACUGGAUCAUGUUAUUUCUCCCCUUACAGCUUCUUCUGCCCAGGAUCAAUUACAGGCCUUGAGCAUCUCCACCUCCUCUGAAAUUACUAGCAAAAGGAGCAGAUUGAGAGGAUUUAUCAAUGUGCAGACAUGUCCUUUGGUUUAGGAACUGCAGUUCUGGUUGUCUUCUCAUUUACAUAUUCUGGUUAUCCACAUAGUAGCAUGCAAGAGGUGAAAGAAAUGGAAGAGAGGAAUAGCAUGCCUCCUCCUCCCCACUAGUAUAAUCACACCCACCACUGGAACACAAGACUGAUUUUGACUACUAUCUGAAAUAAGAAGUAGACAGUGCUGAAAGAUUCAGACACCUCUCGGUUAGCGCUGUGUGCUGGGACAACUCCACUGUUGUGUAACUGUCCCAGUGCAACUUAACAUGACUUCCUCAAUCAAAGCUGGCUGCCUCAGGACACUACCAUAGUAAGUGGUCUCAUUCUAUCACUUAGCAUUCGUCACACCUACGUAAUUACAAUUGAAAAGUGUCCCCGCAAAUUAAGAAUGGCAAAUCUCAACCCGUAAACAAUAUCCUCCUGUUCUCGUUCAAGUUUGGAAAGGACUGCCGCAGGCUGAGAGGUAAAGAGGAAAACCUUCCUGAAAUAACUCUUCUGCCUCAUAAAGACAGGCUGUUUGACACAGUAUUUUAGUGCUGCCUAAUUAAUAGAAGUGGGACACCAUUAAUAUGCAGGACAGGUAUUUUAGAAGCAGUUCAUUAUACCGAUUAUUUUAAGACAUCCUUGUUCGUUAUCUCUCCAUUAGCAGCAGCACUCUGACCUCAUCAUUUAUUUCACAGCUCACCUUUGGCUUCGGGACAAUUCCUCCUUCUCAGAAGAAACUGUCACCACUGAGCUUGUAUAUCUUUGGGUGUGAACUGUCAGGUGUCAGACAAUAUUUAGAAGUGUUCUUUGCUGAUUCCAGCCUAAUCUACCGAUUGAAAAAAACAGUAUCUUACCGUAGCUGUGUUUAAAGUGGAACAAUGGAGAAAUUCUUUCCAUAAUAAGGACAAAUGGCACAUGGUUCCACCAGGCAUCAGAACAAGCACUUCCUGCAAGGUUGACCCGGUUGCAUCAGUGCAGAUUUAGGCGUAAAUGCUUUACAAGCAAAUAAAAUGACUUGAUGAGAUCA